This 253-nucleotide ribosomal RNA is filed under the name uncultured bacterium. Its description in RNAcentral is "partial 16S ribosomal RNA". It matches the Rfam family "Bacterial small subunit ribosomal RNA", at positions 524 to 776 of the family's 1533-position model. The record is from RNAcentral.
UACGUAGGGGGCAAGCGUUGUCCGGAAUUACUGGGCGUAAAGCGCGUGUAGGCGGGCCGGCAAGUCUGGCGUGAAAGGCUCGGGCUCAACCCGAGAUGGCCGCUGGAAACUGCCGUUCUUGAGGGUCGAAGAGGAGAGUGGAAUUCCUGGUGUAGCGGUGAAAUGCGUAGAGAUCAGGAGGAACACCCAUGGCGAAGGUAGCUCUCUGGUCGACCUCUGACGCUGAGACGCGAAAGCGUGGGGAGCGAACGGG